AGUGAACGCUGGCGGUAGGCCUAACACAUGCAAGUCGAACGGCAACACGGAGAAGCUUUCCUCUUACGUGACGCGAGUGGGAGGGGGGUGAGAAGUCCAGCAGAAUCUCCGUUUGCGUGGGGGAUCAAGUGGGGAAGCUUACGCAAAUCCCACAUACGCCCUACAGGUGAGAGCAGGAGCUCUUCGGACCUUGCGCGCUUGAGUGCGCAGAUGUCGGAUUAGCUAGUUGGUGGGGUAAAGGCCCACCAAGGCGACGAUCCGUAGCUGGUCUGAGAGGAUGACCAGCCACACUGGAACUGAGACACGGUCCAGACUCCUACGGGAGGCAGCAGUGGGGAAUAUUGGACAAUGGGCGCAAGCCUGAUCCAGCCAUACCGCGUGGGUGAAGAAGGCCUUCGGGUUGUAAAGUCCUUUUGGUGGGGAAGAAAAGCAGAAGGUUAAUACCUCGGUGUUCUGACGUUACCCAAAGAAGAAGCACCGGCUAACUUCGUG
RNAcentral lists this ribosomal RNA (492 nucleotides) under uncultured bacterium. RNAcentral describes it as "partial 16S ribosomal RNA". It matches the Rfam family "Bacterial small subunit ribosomal RNA", at positions 29 to 507 of the family's 1533-position model. The record is from RNAcentral.